GGGGGCGACAUGGCUUCGACGCCGGUGACAACCCCUGAGGUGCAUGCCGAGAGCGUGAUGUAUCUCGUAAAUCCAACAUCACGAUAAAAUAGUCGCAAACGACGACAACUACGCUCAAGGCGCACUGGCAGCGUAACAGCUGCUAGUUGUUAGCCUGGCCCGAAAGUGAUGCGCCCAUUCAUCACGGACGGGAUACGAGCCAAGAUUAAUGGGAUCGCGUCUGACGGCGUCUCCCCGUCAGUCGUUAAAUCGAAGGAGAAUCGCGCUUCUGAAUCCUGUUCGUCGGAGUCAGCGGCGUUAAAGCAAAUGACGAAACUAAGCAUGUAGAGCCGAUGGGCGAGUACCGGCGGACGCGGGUUCGAUUCCCGCCGCCUCCACCA
This 380-nucleotide transfer-messenger RNA is filed under the name Aidingimonas halophila. Its description in RNAcentral is "Standard tmRNA". It matches the Rfam family "transfer-messenger RNA". Rfam says of the family: Bacterial tmRNA, also known as 10Sa RNA or SsrA, is named for its dual tRNA and mRNA-like properties. Its role is to liberate the mRNA from a stalled ribosome. Lineage: Bacteria; Pseudomonadati; Pseudomonadota; Gammaproteobacteria; Oceanospirillales; Halomonadaceae. The record is from Rfam by way of RNAcentral.